RNAcentral lists this ribosomal RNA (346 nucleotides) under uncultured bacterium. RNAcentral's name for it is "bacterial SSU rRNA". It matches the Rfam family "Bacterial small subunit ribosomal RNA", at positions 28 to 363 of the family's 1533-position model. The record is from RNAcentral.
GACGAACGCUGGCGGCGCGCCUAAUACAUGCAAGUCGAGCGAGAAGGUGUAGCAAUACACUUGUAAAGCGGCGAACGGGUGAGGAAUACAUGGUAAUCUACCAUCGAGUGGGGAAUAACCAACCGAAAGGUUGGCUAAUACCGCGUACGCCUCCGGAUCUUCGGGUUCGGAGGGAAAGCUGCACUGUGAGUGUAGCGCUCUUUGAUGAGCUCAUGUCCUAUCAGCUUGUUGGUAGGGUAACGGCCUACCAAGGCUUUGACGGGUAGGCUGGUCUGAGAGGACGAUCAGCCACACUGGCACUGCGACACGGGCCAGACUCCUACCGGGAGGGCAGCAGUAAGGGAAU